ACCUAAUAGAUACCCAGGUAGUCCACGCCCUAAACGAUGCGAACUGGAUGUUGGGUACAUUACGGUACUCAGUGUCGAAAGCUAAACGCGUUAAAGUUCGCCGCCUGGGGAGUACGGUCGCAAGACUGAAACUCAAAGGAAUUGGACGGGGGCCCGCACAAGCGGUGGAGUAUGUGGUUUAAUUCGAUGCAACGCGAAGAACCUUACCUGGCCUUGACAUCUGUCGAAUCCUGCAGAGAUGCGGGGAGUGCCGCAAGGAACGGACAAGACAGGUGCUGCAUGGCUGUCGUCAGCUCGUGUCGUGAGAUGUUGGG
RNAcentral lists this ribosomal RNA (314 nucleotides) under uncultured bacterium. Its description in RNAcentral is "bacterial SSU rRNA". It matches the Rfam family "Bacterial small subunit ribosomal RNA", at positions 771 to 1079 of the family's 1533-position model. The record is from RNAcentral.